RNAcentral lists this ribosomal RNA (322 nucleotides) under uncultured eukaryote. RNAcentral's name for it is "partial 18S ribosomal RNA". It matches the Rfam family "Eukaryotic small subunit ribosomal RNA", at positions 1470 to 1796 of the family's 1831-position model. The record is from RNAcentral.
CCCCUAGAUGUUCUGGGCCGCACGCGUGCUACACUGAGUGGAUCAGCGGGUCAGGUUGCGCGAAAGCGUUUCCUAAUCUUGAAAUCCGCUCGUGAUGGGGAUUGACGGUUGCAAUUUUCUGUCAUGAACGAGGAAUACCUUGUAAGCGCGAGUCAUCAUCCCGCGCUGAAUACGUCCCUGCCCUUUGUACACACCGCCCGUCGCUCCUACCGAUUGAGUGGUCCGGUGAGGCUUUGGGAUCUGAGCGGAAAGAGCGUUUCGCUCGUUCUGCCCGGAAAACUCAGUCGAACCUUAUCAUUUAGAGGAAGGAGAAGUCGUAACA